This 117-nucleotide ribosomal RNA is filed under the name Danio rerio (zebrafish). The record is from RNAcentral. Lineage: Eukaryota; Metazoa; Chordata; Actinopteri; Cypriniformes; Danionidae.
AGCCACAGCCAUAUAAUCCUGCAGCCCAAGACCAGUUACUCACUAAAGUUAAGCAGGGCUGAACCUGGUCAAUACCCAGAUGGGAGACCACAUGAGAAAACUAGGAUGCUCUUGGAA